CUCAAUAAACCACAAUUUCUUAUAAGUUUGAAAAUAUAAUAUUUAAAUUUAAUGAAAAACCUGUCACGCCCCGAACCUGGGGGCGAGACCGGCACCUGGUGCCUCACCUAUCCUCGUGUACCAACUUGCGACUAAGGGACUCUGAACAUAUAAUGUCAUACUUUGGCCAUGGGCCACAUUGCAAGAUAAUUGCGAAUGCUUACUAAAUAUCAAUAUAAAGUUGGGUCGACAAGGCCGUUAUAAUUACUACAGCUGGCAAACCAACAAAAUAUACAUAAAAGGCCUACAAGCCCAACAUCCUGCACUAACUGACAAGAUACGUCUGCAAGCCUCUACUGAUGGAUAUACUGUGAUCGGAACAGGGCGUCGACCUACUCAUAGCAUAUAUUCACAAGAUGUACAUAAAGCUUUAUCCGGCAACUCCGAAGAGCAUGGAGCUUACCGAUCAAGCUCAACUCGGGCAACACCUAAUGAGGAGGUCUACCCGUCUGUGUGUCUGAACCUGCACGCAUGAAAUGCAGCACCCCCAGAAAAGGGACGUCAGUACGAAAUAAUGUACAGAGUAUGAAAGGCAAUAUACUGAAAGCUGAAACUGAACUAAUAAUAUAAUAAUUGAAAGUAACUGGGAGUCAAAGAUAAUCUCAAGAUAUACUCACCUACUGAUAAUGACUCAACUCUCUCAAUAGUAAGUAAAAUAGAUGUCCGGCCUUAUAAGGCUCGGUAUAUAUAUAACUGCUCUGCCAUAGUAGGCUCGCUCAUAGGCGCUCGGCCAUACUAGGCUCUGUAUCUCGGCCAUUAUGGGCUCGCUCAUAGGCGCUCAGCCACAGUAGGCUCGGUAUAUAACUUACCAUCUGAUCAGAGGAUGCCAAAUAAGAGCUUGCCCACCGAUUAUAGCUCGAUGGUAGGGAAAAUACUGUAAUACUGUAUAUAUAUAGACCCUCUACUCUCUUCAACGGAAGAAGAUAAUACUCAAUGGAAUAUAAGGUCCCAAUACGGGAGAAUACUGUAACUUAUGAGACAAGGAUAGUGUAUAUAAAUUCGGAAGUAUGAACUUCUCUUUAUGCAUCGUUAUCAAACACAUGUAAUAACGAGAUCAUGCCAAAAAGAAGGAAGGGCUUAACCUUAACAUACCUGGAGUAGGGAAAAAUCAAUAUGACAUUAUUGAGAAGGAUUGCACCAUACUCCCUUAGAAUUAUAAAAUCCCGUUAUUAUUACACAGUGCAAUUUCGUAUGAAUUCCUUUACUAAUCCAAGAAUUGACGUUGCUAUUGCGUAGAAUAAUUUCGGAUAAAACAAUUUGCUGAAGCAAAAUCACGUCAAUCUAUCUCACCUUGUAAAAGAUUUGUAUGAAAUCUUGUUUGAGAAUUUCCAUCCGUUCCUACAUGUAUAAGCAUCUCCAUUUGUGAUUUUGAAAGGCCUUUUAUAUAGCGUGUGGGCCCCACACUUUGUAUGACUAAGUCACAAAGACUCCUCCAAUCUUGCCACCUUAUUAAAUGAUCUUAAGAGUCAUGUUAGGCUUGAUUUAAGCCUUCAUGCUUGCUGCCACGUUAGGGAGUUAAUUCCUUAUCCAAUAAUUUCUUAAUUAUAAGUUAAUCUCCCACUUAAAAAUUUAUAAUUAUUCAAUUAUUCACAUAAUUAGUAAUUAUCUCAAAUUACUUAAAAUACUACUUACUUUUAAUAUAUUUUAUAUACUUUACUAUCAUGGCCAUGUGGUACCUUGUAUGGUACUAGUCCAUAAAUACCGAGUAUUUUAGCUCAUGUCGUAUUUUAUCCAAAAUGUCAAACUUCGACGAAAUUUAUUUUCUUCGAUUUGCUUACCUUCUCACCUUCACGAAUUUACUCGUCACUUAUUUGAAAUAGCAUAAUGCUUAUAAUCUCAAAAUAAUCCAUCUCCCGAACUUACAUCGAUUAACUUACGACGAAACUUUAACGUAUGAAAAUUCGGGAUGUAAUAUCUCAUGUCCGAGCUUUCAUCAAUUUACUUAUUGCGUACUUCCACGUACAAAAAAAAAUGGUGUGUAACAUUAUUCCCCCCUUUGGAACAUUCGUCCUUGAAUGUUGACUGUUGCACUUAUCAUUCUCAUAACUCAUAGCUCUUGCGAAUACUUUAAUAUUCUCCUUGCUAUUUAGGCAAUUGUUCUUUGAAUAAAUCCAAAGGCGAGGGUAUUCCCCCCUUUGGUCCUCCUUCUCAUAUCACGACUUUCCUCCAGCUCUUAGCCAAUCUCUAGGCCUCACUUUGUGAACAUAUAUAAAAUUAUGUCAAGUUGUCCCUCUAGGCGUCAUUAACUUUACUACAUCUAAGUAGGCCAUACUAUACCAUAACUCUUACUUCGAUUUAUUGUUACCGAGGUCUGCGACCAAACUACAGGUGACUCUCGUUGUUUAUCCUAUAUGCAUAAAACUAAAUCUUUUAAUGCUUCCUCAUUACUGUUCAUCUUAAGAAUGAUGACCUAAUCUCAGCUCAUACUUUGUGACUUUUGUCCAUCCAUUAUGAUUCACCUCAAUAUUGAUCUACAAUAUAGCACUGAUAACUUGAAACUUCUUUCGUAAUACAUUACCACUAGGGCUUAUGUUGCAUCGAGGAAUAUUUGAAGUGAUUUUCCUGAUCUACUUAGGGGCGAUAUUGUACUUCAAUAAUCAUAUUUUAUAGCAUCCCAAUGUGAUUCACCUUACGUGGGUAUUUUAAUUCUGUACCAUCCAUGAAAUCCUCUUCAAAUCAUUACUCAAUCGAAGGCCCAAACGUCAUCCUUCAUCUAACACAAUUACACCUUCAUUCUACUACCAGACUAGCAUUCCAUCUCUUCUAAAUGCUACUAGUCUUAGAUUUCUUUGAGUUCAUUCAGGCUAUACUGAGCUUUCUAUAACUUAUAGAAGCCAUCAGCUCUCUUGUUUUCAUGGGCUUAAUCUCGAGGACUCAUCCGUUUCUCGUUACCUUCUCACUCGCCCUUUCUGGUCCUUACUCCUGUCUUCCUAAAAUCUUGUCGCUCUAUCAUACUUUAGCUUGCAAUCUACACAUAUCCAUUUAUGCUACUCGCAACCUUUCUUCAACUUGCUUGCACCAUAGAUUUCCUUAUAUUAUUCUGGAACAUCAAGCGAGACAUCACAUCGUCUCUAACUCUUCUUUACUCUCUUGACUAGGUCUCUCGGCACCUAGAAACCAUAGGCUAGAAGAUAUGCCAUCAAUGACACUGCUAUCAUUCCUGGAUAUUGAAUCCCAACGCUUUUAGUCCUUUAUCUAAAGUAUGGAUUGUUCGCAACCUUCUGCAUUUGAGUAUCUCGUACGUUGUUCACCUUUACCUUACUUACCUUAAAAUCUCGCAUCACGUCUUCUAUCUCUUUCAUGAUCUCGAUUUCAUACAGGUAUAAUUCACGUCCAUAACUUGAAACUCUAUUAUAAUACUUACACCUCUGGUGCAUACACAAUUCGGUGGGAGAUUCAUACUGACUUCUUAUGGGGCUUAUACUCUUCUAACUAGCUUUAUCGUAGAGCCGUUAUAAAAUAUGGCUACUAUACUAUCUCUCUUGUACCUCUGAUAUUUAAGAGUGAUUAUGCAAUGUUCUCAAUCAUGAUGUCUAUAAUAUUCUGGGUCCAAUAAUCAGACUCGUGAUUUACUUGGUUGACGUAACUCUUUAGUUUCCUCUUCCUUCUGAUCAGUCUUUAUGUAGGCUUAAGAUAUCUUCCAAUCUGCAACUCAUGGUAUUAGUUAUUACUUUAGCCUUUCAUGGGCAUUAUGGAAUACCCAUGAUACAAUCUUCUAACAACUCAAUCCUUCGUCUAUGUCCUGAGCUCAAUUCUUUCUUUUAACUUAUACCGGAGUCUUCUAUGUCUGUAUGAUUGUCAACAUAUAUGUUGUAUGUAUAAAACUCGAACUCUUAAGUGCGUUCAUAAUGUAACUAACUCUAGAUUGUUGAUCAAAAUAAUUCCUUCCGUUCCUUCCCAGCCUUUUUUUAAAUGUAAGCAAUUACUUUUCCUGGCCGUUCUACCACUUAUUGCAUGAAUACUUGGCUUAUCUUUAGUGCCCACAUAUAUUGGAAUUCCAUACAACUCAUAUAAUCUUGAAUAUCACUUCUGAUUUUUACUUCCCGUCCAUUAGCCACGGUAGGUGCCACUUUCUUAUGGAGUGCAUACAAUGUUAUUGUGAGACUGUUGUUAUAAGAUCACUUCCUCUUUAGGUCACUGAGCUUAGGUUGAAGCCUUCCUCCUUACUUCCCCAACUAACCUUUCAUUGUAGUACUUAGGGAGGACCCUCUGACUCUUGUAAUGUUGCGAGCUUGUUAUAUUGUAUAUCUGAAGAAGUUUUCGAUGUUCUUACUCGUCUAUAAAUAUCCGUAGUUACAUACCUCUGUGCACUUGUGCUCGUGCGGUUGCUUCUGAACUGAAGUUUUGACUGUCUUCCUAGUGGCAUUCUCUUUUAUUUCCGUAAUACUCAUACGAUACCUUUAACUACCCCAACUCCUAUCUGAAUAUUUCUCAAGGGUUCCGAUGUAAUAUCUGCAAAACUGAAUUCCCCAUGUUGGGGUUCACUAUGUUCAUCUUGCAUAAUCUGCCGAUUUGUCGGUAACCUCUUGUCUAGCCAUGACUAGGCUCUUCCUGAAUCAACUACUAAUUACUCGUUGACCCAUUCUUAUAUCAAUAUCCCGCAAAAUCUUUCUUGGUUUAUUUCCUUUGUCUUAACUUACCUCUCACACUGGCUACUUAUUUAUCAAUAACAUCCCAGGCAGGAACCCUUACUUCCUUUCCGUGACGUCGUGUUUGCAUAAUGUUCUAGAAUCGUAGCAUAUCUGUAGGAUUUGAAUAAGUGCAAUUUCAUCCCUUUCUCAUUUUUAUCGCAUUCUUUCUUUACUAUUCCAUACCGGUUUCUAUCACUCUGGGGUUUAACUUUACGUUUUGGUAAUCACGUUAGAGUCACGAAUUUAUUUCUCGAAAUAAGGAUAUGACUUUAUGUCUUAUACUUUUUUGUUGUCUUAAGGCCUAUCACCUAUCGUCUCUUCCUUCACAUGACUAUGGACCUUGUAAUACUGUCAUCUUUUUUAUCUACCGUUGUUAUCCAUGUAUCACAUCUUACUCAUAAUGCUUCCUUAUCUCUCUUAUCAUUUCCCUGCUAAUAUUUCUGCCUAUCCCUUUCUUGUGAAAACUUCAACAAGACAUUCUUUUGCUUUUAGUUCCACUUGCUCCAUCUACUGGCUCUUCGGGUUGCCUAACAUUCUUUUUCUACUAGGGACGGGAGCCACACUAAGGUAAUAUUUAGCCCUUCAAGGCUUCCAGUGCCUAUCUUAGCUGUACUAUUUUAGACUAUACCCUCUGGGUGUCUUACAAGGAGAUCUAUUAGCACAUUUGCAAUAUCCUUCGGAAAUUUCACUUAACGCAAACAAUCCAUUCACCAUUUUGGGUUACUCUUACCCCAGCCGGAUCUUGAUAUCAUGUCCUUCUCUUAAACUACACCUAUUAGCUUCCAUAUGGCAUAACUGAGAUGGGUGUGGCUGAUUAUACAUACCUCCGUUACAGUUGAAGAUAACUCAAAAUGCUUAUAUUUCUCUUCAUGAAUGGUAAAUAAUGAUAAUCUUCAUUGGCUGGGUACCUCGUACCCUCCUUCAUCUUUCUUCUUUUACUUGCUAAAACUUGUAUCUAUCUUCUGAAUCUCUCAUUGCCUUUCACCGUAGGGGUGGAUAGAUAUUCUUGCUUUGAGGCUCCUUAUCAAGAAGCUUACAUGUCUUAGUACAUACACGUUCUGCUGAAGACCUCACAUUUAUCCAUCAUAGGAAUGAUGCAAACUCGAGUUCCUCUAACUGAACUCUUCCCUAGCUGUAUCUCUUACCAACUAUCUUUCUGGAUAUCGGUAUCGUUGUAUUACGAAUAUAAUAGAAUUUAGGAAUUUGAAUUCUUAUAAGUGAGCUCUACCACACGAUCUAGAGUAAGAAAACAAGAGUGACAAUCCUAAAUGCCCUAUAGUCUCCUGUUUAUAAGUGAGGUGCACAACACACCCAUAAACAAGACUCUACUAGACACGGCUUGUAGACUCCCUAGGACAGAACUUCUCUGAUACCACUUUUGUCAUGCCCCGAACCUGGGGGAGAGACCGGCACCCGGUGCCUCACCUAUUCUCGCGUACCAACUUGCGACUAAGGGACUCUGAACAUAUAAUGUCAUACUUUGUUCAUGGGCCACAUUGCAAGAUAAUUGCGAAUGCUUACUAAACAUCAAUAUAAAGCUGGGUCGACACGGCCGUUAUAAUUACUACAGCUGGCAAACCAACAAAAUAUACAUAAAAGGCCUACAAGCCCAACCUACUCCACUAACUGACAGGAUACGUCUACAAGCCUCUACUGAUGGAUAUACUGUGAUCGGAACAGGGGCUCGACUUAAUCAUAGCAUAUAUACAUAUAUACACAAGAUGUACAUAAAGCUCUAGACCCGGCAACUCCAAAGAGCAUGGAGCUUACCGAUCAAGCUAAACUAGGGCAACACCUAAUGAGGAGGUCUACCCGUAUGUUUGUUUGACCCUGCACGCAUAAAAUGCAGCGCACCCAGAAAAGGGACGUUAGCACAAAAUAAUAUACCGAGUAUGUAAGGAAAUAUACUGAAAGCUCAAACUGAACUGAUAAUAUAAUAACUGAAAGUAACUGGGAGUCAAAGAUAAUCUCAAGAUAUACUCACCUACUGAUAAUGACUCAACUCUCUCAAUAUAGUAAGUAAAAUAGUUGUCCGGGCUUAUAAGGCUCAGUAUAUAUAUAAUUGUUCUGCCAUAGUAGGCUCACUCAUAGGCGCUCGAAAAUACUAGGCUCUAUAUCUCGAUCAUUCUGGGCUCGCUCAUAGGCGCUCGGCCACAGUAUGCUCGGUAUAUAACUUACCAUCAGAUCAAAGGAUGCCCAAUAAGGGUCUGCCCACCGAUUAUAGCUCGAUGGUGGGGAAAAUACUAUAAUACUGUAUAUAUAUAGACCAUCUGCUCUCUUGAACGAAAGAAGACAAUACUCAAUGGAAUAUAAGGUCCUGAUACGGGAGAAUACCGUAUCUUAUGAGACUAGGAUAGUGUAUAUAAUUUCGGGAGUAUCAACUUCUCCUUAUGCCUCAUUAUCAAACACAUGUAAUUACGAGAUCAUGCCAAAAUAAAUCAAGGGCUUAACCUUAACAUACCUGGAGUAGAAAAAAAUUCGUAUGAUAUUCUUGAGAAGGAUUGCACCGUACUCUCUUAGAAUUGCAAAAUCCCGUUGUUAUUACACAAUGCAAUUUCGUAUGAAUUCCUUUACUAAUCCAAGAACUGCCGUUGCUAUUGCUUAGAAUAAUUUCAGAUAAAAAUAUUUGCUGAAGCAAAAUCAAGUCAAUCUAUCUCACCUUGUAAAAGAUUUGUAUGAAAUCUUGUUUGAGAAUUUCCAUCCGUUCC
RNAcentral lists this long non-coding RNA (7378 nucleotides) under Nicotiana tabacum (common tobacco). RNAcentral's name for it is "long non-coding RNA (NTAB_LNC006659)". Lineage: Eukaryota; Viridiplantae; Streptophyta; Magnoliopsida; Solanales; Solanaceae. The record is from RNAcentral.